GCUAUUAUUGUUUCUGUUUCAGUGUGAGAGAGUCACAGACUUUGGGACAGGUUUCAGAGCAGG
Molecule: transfer RNA, 63 nt
Filed under: Sus scrofa cristatus
Lineage: Eukaryota; Metazoa; Chordata; Mammalia; Artiodactyla; Suidae
Description: tRNA-Phe
Source: RNAcentral